Long non-coding RNA from Triticum aestivum (bread wheat), 1323 nucleotides. RefSeq lists it as uncharacterized. The record is from RefSeq and is a predicted model, not a curated record. NCBI's taxonomy places the organism in Eukaryota, Viridiplantae, Streptophyta, Magnoliopsida, Poales, Poaceae. The transcript has 3 exons.
CCUGAACCCUUCCGUUCUUGCCCUAGGUCAGAGAGAGAGAGAGACAGAGGUGAUUGAUGGCGGCGACCACUUGCGAUCUACACAUCUGGCUCCCUUCGAUCCUUCUCUUCUCGCGACCUAUGUGCGUGGCCGCCAUGCCUCUUCUCCGGAGGGCGAAGGCAGGAGAACGUGAAGACAGGCCAGUAGGAGAAGUGGGGCGUCCCUCACGACGAGCAGCGGCGGCCGAGAUGACACGUCAGCUCGCCCAGUGGUGAGCCGGUUCCCAGGCGGAACUGUUGCCAAAGAUGGCUGCCACCCUUCCCCCCUACAACCAUGCCAGUACGCUGCCACGCCCUCCCCUGCACCUGCGAGGAGGAACUAUAGCAGGAAGAGAAGGAGGAACACUCAUCUAUCUCGCUGCAGGUCCCCAUCUUUGUUUCAGCCUUUAUCUUGUGUUGAUCUAUCCAUGUGCCACUCCUGAUUGCCUCUAACUGCUGCAAUUCUAUAAAAGAUGAAACUUGGGACAAGAUGAUCAAUUGCUCCCCAUGGUUCAGAUUGUAAGGAAACACAUGGUAAAAGAUUAGCAAGAAUUUCUGUCGGAUUUACAUUGGACACAUGGUACUGUUUAACAUCUGAAAAUUCUUAUCUUAAUUUCCAGGGCAGCACUGGACCAGAAGGAAAAACCAAAACCGAACAUACAUUGCAAGGUCAAUAAUGAAACAAAAAUUGUUGUGGAGAAGAGCGUGACUAAGUCGAGCAAGAAGAGCAGCAACAAGUCCUCGACCAUGAACCAUCAUAUCUACUUUGCCGCAUUGCCACGCAACGUCGCCCGCAAACCUUUACUCAAGACUCUGUGCACCAGCAAGGUAUCAUAUCGCGCUUCUUGUGGUUCCAUCUUAUGACUCCAAAGACCCCUUCCAAGUCACUUGGUGCAGGUUAUUGCGUAUGCAAGAGGGCCAUCUGAAUUUUGUUGAAUGCCAUGUAUGCUGAUGAUACGAAUGGAAAAGCCUUUGAAGGAUAGAAUAAGCAAGUUGUUGGCUGCAUAGACUGCACAACUUUCUGCACAUCAGAAUCCCGGUUUAGAAGAUAUUCCGGUGCACAUUUACAAUUUUUCAUGGUAUUAUACAUGUUCAGAUUGUUGCUGAAUUACAUGGUUGAUUUAUGCACAUGAAGCCAACCUUGGCACAUCAUUGAUGACAGGUGCAGUGUUUGUGAUCUGUACUAAGCACUUGCAUUGUAAUUUAUUUUAGUGAGACCGUGAAGGAUUGUGUAUCACUAGAGGUGAUGUGAGCAGUAUGUUAUGCUAUAGACAUAUGAAGUUUCAUGGAAUUAUUAUUAAUCGUG